CUUCUAGCUCUGCUACUUUGGCCUGGAAUUUGAAAUUCAAUUUAAAUUAACUCUGUGUGCCCAACUUUACUCUUACUUUAGUAAAUAUUCCUGGCAGAAAUAUCAGGACCCUGCCAGCUUAGUUAUACACUGUCCAUGCACGUUAGUGGUCACCGCACCAUGUCUCGAUCACAAACGCCAAUAUUGUUGCAGAAUCAAACAGGCUUAGAGUCAGACAUCAACGAAGCUCACAGGCC
This is a non-coding RNA of Pelobates cultripes (western spadefoot toad), 236 nucleotides long. Lineage: Eukaryota; Metazoa; Chordata; Amphibia; Anura; Pelobatidae. The record is from the annotation of a GenBank genome assembly.